RNAcentral lists this ribosomal RNA (560 nucleotides) under Salinivibrio sp. TA2. RNAcentral's name for it is "bacterial SSU rRNA". It matches the Rfam family "Bacterial small subunit ribosomal RNA", at positions 223 to 775 of the family's 1533-position model. The record is from RNAcentral. Lineage: Bacteria; Pseudomonadati; Pseudomonadota; Gammaproteobacteria; Vibrionales; Vibrionaceae.
GGAUGGGCCCAGUUAGGAUUAGCUAGUUGGUAAGGUAAUGGCUUACCAAGGCGACGAUCCUUAGCUGGUUUGAGAGGAUGAUCAGCCACACUGGGACUGAGACACGGCCCAGACUCCUACGGGAGGCAGCAGUGGGGAAUAUUGCACAAUGGGGGAGACCCUGAUGCAGCCAUGCCGCGUGUGUGAAGAAGGCCUUCGGGUUGUAAAGCACUUUCAGCAGUGAGGAAGGUGGUGUACUUAAUACGUGCAUGGCUUGACGUUAGCUGCAGAAGAAGCACCGGCUAACUCCGUGCCAGCAGCCGCGGUAAUACGGAGGGUGCGAGCGUUAAUCGGAAUUACUGGGCGUAAAGCGCAUGCAGGCGGUUUGUUAAGUCAGAUGUGAAAGCCCGGGGCUCAACCUCGGAACCGCAUUUGAAACUGGCAGGCUAGAGUCUUGUAGAGGGGGGUAGAAUUUCAGGUGUAGCGGUGAAAUGCGUAGAGAUCUGAAGGAAUACCAGUGGCGAAGGCGGCCCCCUGGACAAAGACUGACGCUCAGAUGCGAAAGCGUGGGUAGCAAACAG